Molecule: long non-coding RNA, 571 nt
Organism: Salvelinus fontinalis (brook trout)
Lineage: Eukaryota; Metazoa; Chordata; Actinopteri; Salmoniformes; Salmonidae
Exons: 2
Source: RefSeq, a predicted model, not a curated record
UUAAUGACUGUCAGUGAAAUGGUAAAUGUGAUCUUGGUCCUCUCUCAUUAGGAAUCAGGGCAGAACCUUCAGUGGACCAGUAUGGGUUGAAGGGGGGUUCAAUAUGUCUGGCUGUUGCAGAACCUCCUGAGAUGAUCAAAGGACUUAAAUGGAUGAAGGACAGUGAUGUAAUAUUUGGAGACAAAGAGAUCUCUCCUAAAUACAAGGAGAAGAUCAUGUUACCAAACCAGUCAUGGAUGUCACAUCUCUCUUCAACACAAGUGUGGGACUCUGUGACGUCACAGUGAACUGUUCAGUUAAAGAUGGCUGGAUGUUGUCUGUCUGUGACAGCGGUCAGUGUACACUGUCACAACAGUCUCCGUCACUAACCGGUGGUAACAUGACCAUCUCCGUAUUGACUGGAAGGAUCCAAUGUACCAGCAGCAACCACGUCAGCACACAGACCAUCUCUCAACCCAUGGAGGACUGUAAGUACCAUUUAGCCUCCACCUUCACUGUAUACCUCCAUCACUGUUUAAUAACCUACUAAUAAUAUCAUAUGAAUUCAAGUUUAAUUCAUUGGUAUGAAGAA